Potamilus streckersoni is the source of this 72-nucleotide non-coding RNA. The record is from the annotation of a GenBank genome assembly. Lineage: Eukaryota; Metazoa; Mollusca; Bivalvia; Unionida; Unionidae.
UUUGAUGGCCUAUUGGUUAGAGCAUCCACCUUGGAUGCGGAAGGUUGUGGUUUCGAUUCCCAGCUGAGUCAU